Candidatus Moranbacteria bacterium RBG_13_45_13 is the source of this 180-nucleotide non-coding RNA. NCBI's taxonomy places the organism in Bacteria, Candidatus Moraniibacteriota. The record is from Rfam.
CUUAUUGAGAGUUUGAUCCUGGCUCAGGAUGAACGCUGGCGGCGUGGAUAAGGCAUGCAAGUCGAUCGCUACACUUCGGUGUGGCGAGGCAAACGGGUUAGUAAUGCAUAGGAACGUACCCUCGAGUCUCGAAUAAUCCCUCGAAAGGGGGAAUAAUGCGAGAUAGUUCUCUUCGGAGUA